AACUACCAAACAUAAAAGUUCGAUAUAGGUAGGUAUACAUAUCUACAGAUCGGCUAAAGAGGACCCAAGUUGGUCCUAAAACGGCCUGAGGUAGAGGGGUUUUAGUCGGUAGGUCCGAGGACUUCUUCCUCGGGAAUCCGACACUACCCAGUCGUACGGACGGCUGGGUGUCUUCUGAAGAUUUCCCCUCUUCCACGAAA
Non-coding RNA from Agrilus planipennis (emerald ash borer), 200 nucleotides. The record is from Rfam. NCBI's taxonomy places the organism in Eukaryota, Metazoa, Arthropoda, Insecta, Coleoptera, Buprestidae.